Non-coding RNA from Trichobilharzia regenti, 46 nucleotides. The record is from Rfam. Lineage: Eukaryota; Metazoa; Platyhelminthes; Trematoda; Strigeidida; Schistosomatidae.
GUACUGAUGAAGAGUCCCCAACUAGGGCGAAACGGCUGUCCAGUAC